AUAGCAACAGCAGCGUAGCUGAACAUCUUACGGAUGGCCCAGGGCUCCAAAGGCUCGUUUCCUAAGUGAGAGAGAGCCUGGCUGAAGCUGUAUUACCAUUCAUUCUCCAGCCUCCGAAGUCUCAAAGCAUCACUUCCACCAUACUCUAACUGUCAAGACAAACACAAAGGCCCAGAAAGAAGAAUACACUAUCGAUGUUCCUUUUAAACAAGUAUUUGAGUAAAAGCGAUGUUUCCAAUGUGUGUCAGAAAGUGAAUACUUGUAUAUUUCCGCACGGUUAGAGCUGAGCUUUCCGAGCAAAUUUUACUGGGACCCGGUUGAAAGACAGGUCUUGGAAGUGAAAUGAUGACUGACUAGAUGAAACUGCCAGACUGUCUUCUGAAGUGGCUAUAAUAUUUACACUCCCAUCAGCAGUGUAGAAGGGGUCUCACUAUGUUGUCUGGAGUGCUGUGGUGGAGUGGAGUGGCUAUUCACAGAGCCUGUUCUGCUGGGACACAGAAUCACUUGCUCCAUCUCAUACAUUGAUGAUGAUUAAUUUGUAUGUGUACCUUCCAAAAAAGAUGGUUGUGUUUGAAUGGAGGCCUUCUGGACAGGAAAAUAUGGAGAGUGCGUGCUUUGGAUUCAAGACUGGGAAUGAGGGGACCAGAAACCUAUUCUGUGGCUGUUUCUUGUUAGGACUUUCCUAAGCCUCUGGAAAAGUGCAAAGUACAAUUAACAUUUGAGUCUGUCUGAGUCAUGAAGAAAUGGAGAUUACUGAAAAUAAUUCAUUUUGGUAUCUUCUUACAUCCUGAGAGACUAAUCUUUCCAAGUUCAUCUGAGGCUCCUCUUCUCCAUGACAACCUCAUCCAGGGAUUUCUUCCUGUCCUGGUGUUUUAUGACAUAAUCACAUCCUUCCUGAGAUAAUGAGCACACAAUUGCCUGGAUACCUGAAGGAAUGGAGACAGCGGCAGAAAACACUGCAGAGAGGUGGAAACAUCCGUUAAUAUUUUAAAAUCCCAUUACUGCUACCAACAAUAAUAAUGGAUGCAUAGAAAUAGAUCUGGAUUAGCUGAGCUUGAAACAGUCCAUCUCACACACACACAAAAGAAUUUCAGAUACAGUGAACCCACAUGUUGAAGCUUUCUAGUAUAAUAAAAAUUUCAACUGUUCUGUUGAAUCAUCUGCCUGAUUGGAGGCUACAGAAAAGAUGUCAUCUUAGGAGUGCUUGCUCUGAGUGAGGCUCAUCUUCAAAUCUGAAUGACCACAAGGAGAUUUGAUUAUACAUGUGAACACCUCAGAAGGCACAGCCCACCCAGAAGGCAGACAGGUCAGGCUGCUUUUUCUUCAUUGCUUGGAUUCAAUCCUCCGGGCGGCUCAGGCUCAAACAUAACUUAAGCAUGAUUAAACUUUAGAAGAAGCUGCCAGGAAGACUGUGAAAUCUUCAUGCCCAAGGAUCCCUAAAAUUAGGAGCAACAACCACUUGGCUCAGACGGUUUAUGGAGGCAAAGGUUUGGAUGGGAUUAGAGAUUUCUAAAUGUGAGUUCGUGUCCUCUGCCAGACCACCUUACUUCCACCAUUCCUCAGCAAAUCAAGAAAAACAGGAGAAAAGACAUGCCUUUCCAUAAGUUAAAUCUAUUCUGUUUUAAUUCUAUAUUAUAUCUGCUGUACAACUUCUUUUGUUUGUAACACCAUAUUGUUGCUAGUAACUGGAAAUUAAUUUUCACAUGCCUCAGCUUAGAAAAAUAAAAAGCAGCCCUGCAUCAA
This 1743-nucleotide long non-coding RNA is filed under the name Homo sapiens (human). Its description in RNAcentral is "long intergenic non-protein coding RNA 635". Lineage: Eukaryota; Metazoa; Chordata; Mammalia; Primates; Hominidae. The record is from RNAcentral.